RNAcentral lists this ribosomal RNA (247 nucleotides) under uncultured bacterium. RNAcentral describes it as "partial 16S ribosomal RNA". It matches the Rfam family "Bacterial small subunit ribosomal RNA", at positions 337 to 600 of the family's 1533-position model. The record is from RNAcentral.
CCCUACGGGGCGCAGCAGUGGGGGAUAUUGCACAAUGGGGGAAACCCUGAUGCAGCGAAGCCGCGUGAGUGAAGAAGUAUUUCGGUAUGUAAAGCUCUAUCAGCAGGGAAGAAAAAAGACGGUACCUGACUAAGAAGCCCCGGCUAACUACGUGCCAGCAGCCGCGGUAAUACGUAGGGGGCAAGCGUUAUCCGGAUUUACUGGGUGUAAAGGGAGAGUAGACGGGCCUGCAAGCCAGGUGUGAAAG